UACGGAGGGUGCAAGCGUUAAUCGGAAUUACUGGGCGUAAAGCGCACGCAGGUGGCUGAGAAAGUCGAUUGUGAAAGCCCUGGGCUUAACCUGGGAAUUGCAGUCGAAACUACUCGGCUAGAGUAUGGGAGAGGGUAGUGGAAUUCCCGGUGUAGCGGUGAAAUGCGUAGAUAUCUGGAGGAAUACCGGAGGCGAAGGCGGCUCACUGGGUCUCUUCUGACGCUGAGGAACGAAAGCUAGGGGAGCAAACGGG
RNAcentral lists this ribosomal RNA (253 nucleotides) under uncultured bacterium. RNAcentral's name for it is "partial 16S ribosomal RNA". It matches the Rfam family "Bacterial small subunit ribosomal RNA", at positions 524 to 776 of the family's 1533-position model. The record is from RNAcentral.